UCAGGGAAACCUGUUCCUUAAUUCGAUAAUCCACGAACGUCCGAGCCCUUCUUGUAAAAUCAGCCUGUGUACUGCCGUCAUAAGUAUGCCUCCAAGAGAGCAUGCAAGAAUAUUUCUAUUUAUGUCAGGUCAAGGUGCAGCCAAUGAAAGGCGGGUGAUGGGUUACACUCUAAACUUAGCUACCAACACUAAAUUGAAAAAUUAGAUAAAAGCUGGACUUGAAAGUAAUGAUAAUUACCAAUCUAUCAUGAAAAGGAAUCUAA
Molecule: ribosomal RNA, 263 nt
Filed under: Tubificoides parviductus
Lineage: Eukaryota; Metazoa; Annelida; Clitellata; Tubificida; Naididae
Description: partial 12S ribosomal RNA
Source: RNAcentral